Molecule: ribosomal RNA, 442 nt
Filed under: uncultured soil bacterium
Lineage: Bacteria
Description: bacterial SSU rRNA
Rfam family: Bacterial small subunit ribosomal RNA
Source: RNAcentral
AGAACGAACGCUGGCGGCAUGCCUAACACAUGCAAGUCGAACGGGACCUUCGGGUCUAGUGGCGCACGGGUGCGUAACGCGUGGGGAUCUGCCCUUAGGUACGGAAUAACUCAGGGAAACUUGAGCUAAUACCGUAUAAUGACUUCGGUCCAAAGAUUUAUCGCCUAGGGAUGAACCCGCGUAGGAUUAGCUUGUUGGUGAGGUAAAGGCUCACCAAGGCGACGAUCCUUAGCUGGUCUGAGAGGAUGAUCAGCCACACUGGGACUGAGACACGGCCCAGACUCCUACGGGAGGCAGCAGUGGGGAAUAUUGGACAAUGGGCGAAAGCCUGAUCCAGCAAUGCCGCGUGAGUGAUGAAGGCCUUAGGGUUGUAAAGCUCUUUGCCGGAUGAUAAUGACAGUACCGGAGAAUAAGCUCCGGCUAACUCCGUGCCAGCAGCCGC